RNAcentral lists this transfer RNA (66 nucleotides) under Marmota monax (woodchuck). RNAcentral's name for it is "tRNA.Ala". Lineage: Eukaryota; Metazoa; Chordata; Mammalia; Rodentia; Sciuridae. The record is from RNAcentral.
GCAGCUCAGUGGUAGAGUGCUCACUUAGCAUGUGCAAGACCCUGGGUUCAAUCCCCAGUACCUGCC